GAAUUCUAGACAUAUUAUACGUGGUAAGUUUGUAUCUUGUCUUCCUUAACUGCAUUGGCAUAGCUGAAUUAUUGUGGCUGUUUAAUUACCUGCAGCAACUAUGUGCUGAAACAAGAGAUUAUUGUGCUUUGCAGAUUCAGUUGCUCGGCUAUGGUGAGUCGAUCGACUGGAAUGGUCCGAGUAGUGGUGGAUCUAUGAUAUGGUCCCUUUCCCUUGUGCAAGGUAAUGGCUUGUGUUCAAGGGAACGCUUUGCUCGUCUGGCCUGCGGGGGGCUGCGCUGGUCCAGCAUGGCCGGCUUUAUGAAUGAUGUGGUUGGUGGUGGCAGGAAUCAUUAGGGCCUUCCCAAGCUUUCACCAAGCUGAAUCAUGGCGCCAGCUUCGGAGGCAUGCGCACCACUUCAACUUCAACAGGACAGAUGGAUAUAUAUAUAGAGAGAGAGAGAUGAUCGGCAAAAGGGUAAAGGUGGCCCGGAUGCAGAUGUGGUGGAUUUCCUAUUUGGUUUCGCUUCUUUUUCCCUUUUCUUUCUUUCUUUUGGUUAAGUUUUCAGAUUUGUUUGUGCAGAGGUGGAGAGCGUUCGAGUUUUUUGUGUUUUAUAUGAGGUUGUAGGCUUGCAUGGUUGGUACGUACGUGUGGUUUGGUCUUUGUUUUGCACUUUGUAGCCAGUUUUGAUGAAGAAGGAAGGCUCGUUGUGAUGAACCCUGUUUCAUUUGACAUGGUGCUCUUCUCUCUGGUCCUUGAUGCUUCUUCUGUGCAUCAUUCGACCCCUCCCGUCCGGUUCGUGUGCAAGCUGUCGAUGUAAUACAGCAUAGUAUAUAUCUUUAUGGUGGCAUGGCAGAUGGCACCCUGAGGUUGCUCAAUUAUGCUGGCUUUGAUGGGUGUCCUUGAGCUGUACAUUACUAUUGAGCCCUGGGAAGAUUCUUGCAUUACUCAAAAAGUUUAGGAAUUACAAUCACGUCCAAC
This 960-nucleotide long non-coding RNA is filed under the name Triticum aestivum (bread wheat). Its description in RNAcentral is "long non-coding RNA (TAES_LNC001210)". The record is from RNAcentral. Lineage: Eukaryota; Viridiplantae; Streptophyta; Magnoliopsida; Poales; Poaceae.